UUUCAGUUUAGAGUAUGCAAGUUUUUGGGGAGCCAACCCUCACAAACCUUCCUAAAAACUUAAAGAGCUAUUACUGAGUCUCAGCGACUCUUGCCACGAUCAGCUCUUCCCAGAAGAGAAGGAAGACCAAGGAAAUGAUUUGCUCAGGAUGAGAAAUGAAGAUGGUCAUCUUGUGCUCAAGCAAACAGAAGUCCUCUGAUGAUCUCAUCAACCAAAUGAGGGGUUUUGACCAAGUGAUGCUCUCGAAAGGACUGAAAGAAGAGGAUGUGGUAAAUUGUCUUCAGAGAAAAGCUUCUCA
Molecule: long non-coding RNA, 298 nt
Organism: Carassius gibelio (silver crucian carp)
Lineage: Eukaryota; Metazoa; Chordata; Actinopteri; Cypriniformes; Cyprinidae
Exons: 3
Source: RefSeq, a predicted model, not a curated record